AACGCUGGCGGCAGGCUUAACACAUGCAAGUCGAGCGGGCGUAGCAAUACGUCAGCGGCAGACGGGUGAGUAACGCGUGGGAACGUACCUUUUGGUUCGGAACAACACAGGGAAACUUGUGCUAAUACCGGAUAAGCCCUUACGGGGAAAGAUUUAUCGCCGAAAGAUCGGCCCGCGUCUGAUUAGCUAGUUGGUGAGGUAAUGGCUCACCAAGGCGACGAUCAGUAGCUGGUCUGAGAGGAUGAUCAGCCACAUUGGGACUGAGACACGGCCCAAACUCCUACGGGAGGCAGCAGUGGGGAAUAUUGGACAAUGGGCGCAAGCCUGAUCCAGCCAUGCCGCGUGAGUGAUGAAGGCCCUAGGGUUGUAAAGCUCUUUUGUGCGGGAAGAUAAUGACGGUACCGCAAGAAUAAGCCCCGGCUAACUUCGUGCCAGCAGCCGCGGUAAUACGAAGGGGGCUAGCGUUGCUCGGAAUCACUGGGCGUAAAGGGUGCGUAGGCGGGUCUUUAAGUCAGGGGUGAAAUCCUGGAGCUCAACUCCNGAACUGCCUUUGAUACUGAAGAUCUUGAGUUCGGGAGAGGNGAGUGGAACUGCGAGUGNAGAGGUGAAAUUCGUAGAUAUUCNCAAGAACACCAGUGGCGAAGGCGGCUCACUGGCCCGAUACUGAC
RNAcentral lists this ribosomal RNA (668 nucleotides) under Bradyrhizobiaceae bacterium D237a. Its description in RNAcentral is "bacterial SSU rRNA". It matches the Rfam family "Bacterial small subunit ribosomal RNA", at positions 32 to 744 of the family's 1533-position model. The record is from RNAcentral. Lineage: Bacteria; Pseudomonadati; Pseudomonadota; Alphaproteobacteria; Hyphomicrobiales; Nitrobacteraceae.